AAAUUUUACAGCUUGCUCUAUAGAGUAGUGUACCUCUCCUUCCAAAGAGUGUUCUUCUUCCAGAGGAGGUGUCCAGGAUUCAUCUAUGAGUUGAAAUACUGAAUCAAAGUAGGUUAUAUAGAACUGCCAAUCAUCUGAGUUUUUCAGCAGCAGUCUUCUUGACAGCGCAUUGCACUCUGGCCACCUACACAGCUUCUUGUACAUUGCCAUACACUUGUUCUCACGGCUUUGGAGCUCGCUUGUCAACUUCUCUCCUAGUUUUCCUCUCACAACAUCUAAGGCUUCCUGGUAUUUCUCCAAACGUUCCAGAAUCAUGUAGUAAAGUUCGACUUCAGCCUCAGCUUCGAUCUUAUCCUCUUUUACCAUUUUUUCCACCAUUCUCUCAGCUAGCGGCAAAAACAUCGUCUUUGAGAGGUUUUCAUCCUGUGCUGAAAUAGACUGCAUAAUCAGGCUCAUCACGGACCAAAAAUAGUAAGGAUUUUUGGGUACGAUCUUAUAAAGUGCCAUUCCAGCCUGUUGCAUCUUCUUGUAUUCUCCAACCCUGGCAUAGGCCAUGAAGAGAUGAGAGUGAUACUCUUCACUGUUGGGGACUUUCUUUACAGCUGCCUCAUAAAGUUUAGUUACAAGUUCCGGUCUAUGCAUUUCCCGGU
This 650-nucleotide long non-coding RNA is filed under the name Gallus gallus (chicken). The record is from RNAcentral. Lineage: Eukaryota; Metazoa; Chordata; Aves; Galliformes; Phasianidae.